Molecule: long non-coding RNA, 692 nt
Organism: Gallus gallus (chicken)
Lineage: Eukaryota; Metazoa; Chordata; Aves; Galliformes; Phasianidae
Exons: 3
Source: RefSeq, marked validated
GGCACAGCGUGUAGGGAAGAGUCCCCUCACACAGUCCUCCCCCGAUCUGUCCCACAAUGGGACCCUCAGGUCACCUCCCUACCCACACCGACUCCUGAAAGAGGGGGGUCCUGCCCCAAGGAACAGUCCAGACCCCCCCCCCCCCCGCCCCCGGACACCGUGGUGCUGUAGGGUGGGAGUGGGGGUGAGGAACCCCGGAGGCUGGGAGACCGGAGACCACGGAGAUGGGCAGAGCUCCUGGCUCUUCGCCUCCAGCCUCCUCCGCUCCGCCGUUUCCUCCUCGGAUUCGAGCGCGUCGAAGACGGCGGCUCCCACCAGCAGCCAGCUCUGCUCAGUGCCGGCGGAUGGCUCCGUUCCCUGAUGUGAUGGCUGCUGACACCGAGCUGUUCCUGACCUGUGAGCUGCUCUGCCUCUGCAGCAGCAGGGUGGCUGCAGUCCCUGAGGACGAGACACGGGUCUAGGGGGUGGGCAACCUCCUUCCCUCUUCGACAAACCCACCAGGGCAGCCAACAUGUGGUGUGGGGUGCAAGGACCCUCCCCAAUGCCCUCCCGUGCCCCAGAACAAACCCUGCCCAGCAGGAGCCGCGUGAUCCCUUAAAAACCCAAUGAAAACACCAAAACGGUUGUUCGUGCCAUCUGGAGCAAAAGAAAAUGGAAUUUUAAUUAAAAACUCAUGAGCUCGUUGCUAUAAA